This is a microRNA precursor of Sorghum bicolor (sorghum), 108 nucleotides long. It matches the Rfam family "MIR5565 microRNA precursor family". The record is from Rfam. Lineage: Eukaryota; Viridiplantae; Streptophyta; Magnoliopsida; Poales; Poaceae.
GUAGUCGGAUUUACAUCAGUCCACAUGUGUUGAGGUGGAUUGGAGUGGAACUUGAACUAAAUUCCACCCAAUCCACACCAACACACAUGGAUUGAAGUGAAUCCGACA